GUAGGUGGCAAGCGUUGUCCGGAAUUAUUGGGCGUAAAGCGCGCGCAGGCGGUUCUUUAAGUCUGAUGUGAAAGCCCACGGCUCAACCGUGGAGGGUCAUUGGAAACUGGAGAACUUGAGUACAGAAGAGGAAAGCGGAAUUCCACGUGUAGCGGUGAAAUGCGUAGAGAUGUGGAGGAACGCCAGUGGCGAAGGCGGCUUUCUGGUCUGUAACUGACGCUGAGGCGCGAAAGCGUGGGGAGCAAACAGGAUUAGAUACCCUGGUAGUCCACGCCGUAAACGAUGAGUGCUAAGUGUUAGGGGGUUUCCGCCCCCCUUAGUGCUGCAGCUAACGCAUUAAGCACUCCGCCCUGGGAGUACGGCCGCAAGGCUG
Molecule: ribosomal RNA, 373 nt
Filed under: uncultured organism
Description: partial 16S ribosomal RNA
Rfam family: Bacterial small subunit ribosomal RNA
Source: RNAcentral